AGUGAACGCUGGCGGUAGGCCUAACACAUGCAAGUCGAACGGCAGCACAGUAAGAGCUUGCUCUUACGGGUGGCGAGUGGCGGACGGGUGAGGAAUACAUCGGAAUCUACUUUUUCGUGGGGGAUAACGUAGGGAAACUUACGCUAAUACCGCAUACGACCUACGGGUGAAAGCAGGGGAUCUUCGGACCUUGCGCGAUUGAAUGAGCCGAUGUCGGAUUAGCUAGUUGGCGGGGUAAAGGCCCACCAAGGCGACGAUCCGUAGCUGGUCUGAGAGGAUGAGCAGCAACACUGGAACUGAGACACGGUCCAGACUCAUACGGGAGGCAGCAGGGGGAAAUAUGGGAAAAGGGGCGCAAGCCUGACCCAGCCAUACCGGGGGGGGGAAGAAGGCCUUGGGUUUGUAACCCUUUUUUGUUGGGAAAAAAAAGCAGCAGUUGAACCCCCGCCUGUUUUGACGGUCCCAAAAAAAAAAGCCCCGGCUAACUUCGUG
RNAcentral lists this ribosomal RNA (492 nucleotides) under uncultured bacterium. RNAcentral describes it as "partial 16S ribosomal RNA". It matches the Rfam family "Bacterial small subunit ribosomal RNA", at positions 29 to 507 of the family's 1533-position model. The record is from RNAcentral.